AACGAACGCUGGCGGCAUGCCUAACACAUGCAAGUCGAACGAGACCUUCGGGUCUAGUGGCGCACGGGUGCGUAACGCGUGGGAUCCUGCCCUUAGGUUCGGAAUAACUCCCCGAAAGGGGUGCUAAUACCGGAUAAUGUCUUCGGACCAAAGAUUUAUCGCCUUUGGAUGGGCCCGCGUUGGAUUAGCUAGUUGGUAGGGUAAAAGCCUACCAAGGCGACGAUCCAUAGCUGGUCUGAGAGGAUGAUCAGCCACACUGGGACUGAGACACGGCCCAGACUCCUACGGGAAGCAGCAGUGGGGAAUAUUGGACAAUGGGCGAAAGCCUGAUCCAGCAAUGCCGCGUGAGUGAUGAAGGCCUUAGGGUUGUAAAGCUCUUUUACCCGGGAUGAUAAUGACAGUACCGGGAGAAUAAGCUCCGGCUAACUCCGUG
Molecule: ribosomal RNA, 433 nt
Filed under: uncultured bacterium
Lineage: Bacteria
Description: partial 16S ribosomal RNA
Rfam family: Bacterial small subunit ribosomal RNA
Source: RNAcentral